Helianthus annuus (common sunflower) is the source of this 959-nucleotide long non-coding RNA. RefSeq lists it as uncharacterized. NCBI's taxonomy places the organism in Eukaryota, Viridiplantae, Streptophyta, Magnoliopsida, Asterales, Asteraceae. The transcript is spliced from 3 exons. The record is from RefSeq and is a predicted model, not a curated record.
AAGUAACAUGUCGGCCCUUUUGUCUAAUAAAUAAACCUAUCCCACAUUAGUGGGUGACCACCGGCCCAAACCACCAACUAAAUAAGCAAACCCAACCGGCCCAUAUUGCCCAAAUACUGUUAUAAUACAAGUUACGUAUCCAUUCUCUUUGUCUCAUAAUUGCAACACAUCAACCCUAAUUAUUCAUCACACAACGGCAGUAGCAAGACCCCUGUUUCUGUUUCGGUUUACAUCACAACUAGUCGGAUUUCUGGGCGUUUAUGAACAGACAGUUAAGCGAGUAAAUAAUCUUACCGAGCAAAACCAAGGUCCAGGUAUCUUGGAUUUGGGAACUUGCUGUCUGGAAUAGCUGGAGUGGUCAUGGGUCGACUGGAGGGAAUCAUGUAUUUAAACUAUUGAUACUAUACAUUGGUUUCGAAAUAGUUUAACUUGGGUUUACUAUUUGCUUCCGCUGAACAUGUUGGUUUUCAUUUAAACUUGUUAAUGAUAAUUGAGGAUUUUAUUUGGAAAUUUGUAUGGGUUCAAUGUAAUUAGUGGCUUGUUGUUGGUACGUCACACGCCUAACAGGGACAUUCCCUAGGUGGUAGUUUGGGGGUGUGACAUUGGACAUGUGAAGAGGAGGCAAGCAACGGCCCCAGUUGGGGUAGUGGAAACCAUCACUGUAGAUGGUAGGAGGGGUAGAGGUGGACUCAAAUUGACUUGGGCCGAGCGGAUUAGACAGGAUUUGAUAUAAAUGCACCUAUCCGAGGACAUGGUCCAAGAUAGGAGUUCGUGGAGACGUAGGAUAAAAGUUAAGGAGUUUUAGGGGUUAGGUAAGAUGUGGUUGGGUGUUGUCAAAGGGGUUAUAGAUUUGCCUACACUUUAGAUGGUCUUGGAGGGUGAUUGUCUUACGAUAUGUAUAUGGAUAUGAGUAUGUUUCUCUAUGAUGCUAUAUUUACCUUUACUGUUUUUUGCUUUUA